UACACGACCGUACCGCAAACCGACACUGGUGCGCGAGAUGAGUAUUCUAAGGCGCUUGAGAGAACUCAGGAGAAGGAACUCGGCAAAUUGACACCGUAACUUCGGAAGAAGGUGUGCCUUUAGUAGGUGAACCAUUUACUUGGGGAGCCCAAUGAGGCUGCAAAAAAUCGGUGGCUGCAACUGUUUAUUAAAAACACAGCGCUCUGCUAAGACGAAAGUCGACGUAUAGGGUGUGACGCCUGCCCGGUGCUGGAAGAUUAAAUGAUGGGGUGCAAGCUCUUGAUUGAAGUCCCAGUAAACGGCGGCCGUAACAAUAACGGUCCUAAGGUAGCGAAAUUCCUUGUCGGGUAAGUUCCGACCUGCACGAAUGGCGUAAUGAUGGCCACACUGUCUCCUCCUGAGACUCAGCGAAUUUGAAAUGUUUGUGAUGAUGCAAUCUCCCCGCGGAAAGACGGAAAGACCCCAUGAACCUUUACUGUAGCUUUGUAUUGGACUUUGAACAGAUCUGUGUAGGAUAGGUGGGAGGCUUUGAAGUGUGGUCGCUAGAUCGCAUGGAGCCAACGUUGAAAUACCACCCUGGUGUGUUUGAGGUUCUAACCUAGGUCCAUUAUCUGGAUCGGGGACAGUGCAUGGUAGGCAGUUUGACUGGGGCGGUCUCCUCCCAAAGUGUAACGGAGGAGUUCGAAGGUACGCUAGGUACGGUCGGACAUCGUGCUAAUAGUGCAAUGGCAUAAGCGUGCUUAACUGCGAGACUGACAAGUCGAGCAGAUGCGAAAGCAGGACAUAGUGAUCCGGUGGUUCUGUAUGGAAGGGCCAUCGCUCAACGGAUAAAAGGUACUCUGGGGAUAACAGGCUGAUACCGCCCAAGAGUUCAUAUCGACGGCGGUGUUUGGCACCUCGAUGUCGGCUCAUCUCAUCCUGGGGCUGUAGCCGGUCCCAAGGGUAUGGCUGUUCGCCAUUUAAAAAGGUACGUGAGCUGGGUUUAAAACGUCGUGAGACAGUUUGGUCCCUAUCUUCCGUGGGCGCUGCAGAUUUGAGGAAGCCUGCUCCUAGUACGAGAGGACCGGAGUGGACGAACCUCUGGUGUAUCGGUUGUCACGCCAGUGGCAUUGCCGAGUAGCUAAGUUCGGAAGAGAUAACCGCUGAAAGCAUCUAAGCGGGAAACUCGUUUCAAGAUUAGAUCUGCCGGGGCCUUGAGCCCCCUAAAGAGUCGUUCAAGACCAGGACGUUGAUAGGUCAGGUGUGGAAGCCAA
Molecule: ribosomal RNA, 1253 nt
Filed under: metagenome
Description: bacterial LSU rRNA
Rfam family: Bacterial large subunit ribosomal RNA
Source: RNAcentral